CCUGAACACAGUGGUGCAUGUCUGUAGUCCCAGCUACUUGGGAGGCUGAGGUGGGAGGAUUGCUUGAGCCCAGGAGUUUUGGGCUGUAGUGUGCUAUUUCAAUUCCGUGUUGCACUAAGUUCGGCAUUAACAUGGUGACCUCCCGGGAGCGGGGGACCACAGAUUGCCUAAGGAGGGGUGAACUGGCCCAGGCUGGAAAUGGAGCAGGUCAAAACUCCUGUGCUGAUGACUGGUGGGGUCUCACCUGUGAAUAGCCACUGCAUUCCAGCCUGGGCUAUGUAGUGAGACCCUGUCUCA
This 297-nucleotide signal recognition particle RNA is filed under the name Cebus imitator (Panamanian white-faced capuchin). Its description in RNAcentral is "Metazoan signal recognition particle RNA (ENSCCAG00000006129.1)". It matches the Rfam family "Metazoan signal recognition particle RNA". Rfam says of the family: The signal recognition particle (SRP) is a universally conserved ribonucleoprotein. The record is from RNAcentral. Lineage: Eukaryota; Metazoa; Chordata; Mammalia; Primates; Cebidae.